This 213-nucleotide unclassified non-coding RNA is filed under the name uncultured Agaricales. Its description in RNAcentral is "sequence contains ITS2". Lineage: Eukaryota; Fungi; Basidiomycota; Agaricomycetes; Agaricales. The record is from RNAcentral.
AAUUCUCAAACCUCUUAUUUAUUUAUUUAAUGAGAGGAUUUGGAUGUGGAAGCUUUGCGGGCCUCUAACGGGGUCGGCUCUUCUUAAAUGCAUUAGCGAGGACCUUAUCUUUAUUUAUAUGGCCUUGGUGUGAUAAUUAUCUACGCCAAUUGGCUUUUAAGAUGUGGGUUUGGCUCUCUAAUUGUCUUCCUUGUGAGGACAAAUCUUUGACAC